Carassius auratus (goldfish) is the source of this 1712-nucleotide long non-coding RNA. Lineage: Eukaryota; Metazoa; Chordata; Actinopteri; Cypriniformes; Cyprinidae. The record is from Ensembl.
UAUAUUCAUUGAAUCAACUGAAGUUCCACAGCAGCCGCAAAGUAGACACCAGCUGAGCUGAACAAAGUUUUGCGAAGGGUAAAUAAAUAUCUUGUUGUUUGAAUAAGUACUACUAAACACUGUCUAUAAAGGCUCAUAUUUUAUUUAUUUGAUGUCUGACUGACGUCGCCUGAGAGAGAGGGCUAGCAUUUGCCAUCUAGUCAUAGCCAAUACAUAGCCAACACUUAAAUAGCCUGUGCAUACAGUUGCAUUUCAUCUUUUAUAAAAUGCUAAUUUGGCCGGAAGAGCACAAAGACAAAAGGAUAUCAUCUCAGCCACCUGAUUUUCCUGAUUUACCUCAAAAUGUAUAUCAAAACGUUUUCAGUUCAUUUGCUAUUACAUUGGAAUCUAGUUUUAACAUUUUAUAAAUUUUUAAUCCCACACCACCAUAAAAUAAGGUAAGCAUUUUUGCUUAUAAAAUUCUUUUGUGUUGGUUGAGGUCAGUUCUGAGUGGUAAGGACACUUAAAAUCUGCUCUUCCAAAUUUAGAAAAAUAAUAGGAUAUCUAAAUAAAAAAUAAAAAAGGGGGGGGGUGUUACCCCUUUAGAAAUAACUGCAUGCACAUAUUUGGUUUAUUAAUAGGAAAGCCUUGAAAGGUAACCUUCAUUUAAAACAAAGAUGGUGUGGGCAGAAAGACAUUGUAUGCAAUGGUCUGUGUUUAUUGGAGACUGGGCCUAGGAAGGACAGUAAUAAACGGAGAAACAGAUUAGUUAAGGAAUCGCAAGGAAAAUCCCCACGGCUACUGCUUUGAGAAAGAAUAAAGUGAAAGAUCACUGUCUCAAAGGUCAGAACGUGUGGGCCCUUAAGGACGCUCUAGGGAAGAGCGGGAUUUUGUUGUGUGGAUGUAACUGUGUCCGGACGAAUGAAUGUGUGAACGAUGAUGAAUGUAUGAACAAAUAAAUUCCGUAUUGGGUGGGUAAGGGUCGAGCACCGUUUCUGGACCGUCACUUCGGUGUGAACUGGUAGAAUUGGACUCGACCCAGAUCCACUUGAGAGGGAUGAAUGUAUGAUGAGCCUUGAUAAUAAAAGGACAAUUAAUGACUGAUUAUCCCUUAGAUAAAGGGAAAAAGUAUGCGCGAAUAAGCACUCUGGCUCAAUAAAAAGUGUAGAAAGUGUGAAUGAGUUUAGGAAAAUAGUAUCAAUAAUGUUUGAAUCAAGAUCUAUAAUAGGUUUUUGCAUUUUGGAUGUCUGUGUGAAAGGGGAGAAAAUUUUCUGAGCCCAGUGCAGUGGGAGUGAGAGCAAGGGAGGAAGUUUCCACAUUAAAUUUGUAUUACAUGGGUGAACAAAAAAGGAAAGAGAAGUAAAAAAAUAAAAAAUAAAUAAAGAAUUAUUGUUAGAAAUUGUUAUCUAAAAAGUGAUAAUAAAAUAGAGCAAAUAAAAUAGACAGUCAAAUAAUAAUAUAAUUAAAAAAGUGUAAAUGCAUGAGACAAAAUAAAAAACUAAAUUCAAAGAGGUAUGACACAUAUUAAAGAAUAAAAAUUAGGGUGAAAUUGAAAAAAAAAAAAAAGUUAAAUUAGGUGAAAGGAAAAGAAGACCAAGUUACUAUAUAAAACUUAAUAGUUGAUUUUUGGGGGUAAUAAUAUAAAUAAAGAUAUGGCAGCCACACCAGUGGAAAUAAUUGGAUUAAAAUAUCCACUGUGUAAAGAGCAAAUAAACAAAAUCUCAAAAAAAUGG